Molecule: ribosomal RNA, 1159 nt
Filed under: Amphidinium thermaeum
Lineage: Eukaryota; Dinophyceae; Amphidiniales; Amphidiniaceae
Description: eukaryotic LSU rRNA
Rfam family: Eukaryotic large subunit ribosomal RNA
Source: RNAcentral
UAGUAAUGGCGAAUGAAAAGAGAUGUGCUUAGUGUCAAAAUCAGGUUUCCCUGACUUGUAGGCUGUAGGCGCUAUGCCAACUUGGGUGCAGGUGCAAGUCUCUUGGAAUAGAGCACCAGUGAGGGUGAGGGUCCCUUCUGUCAUCUGUCAUCCCUUGUAGACGGUUUGCGUUCUGAGAGUCGUGUUCUUCUGGAAUAGAGCGCCAAGUGGGUGGUACUCUUUGCCUAAGGAGCAUUACAUACUUGAGACCAAUAGUGAACAAGUACCAUGAGGGAAGGAUGAAAAGGACUUUGGAAAGAGGGUUAAGAGGACAUGAAGCUGCUGGAAGGGAAGUGGAUUGGACUUCUGUCUUGGCAAGAUUGCAGGUUGCACUACUCUUUGAGGAACUGCGACUUGUGUUUCUUGCUACUUAGUGGGAUUCUGUGUGGUGUCCACAAUCUAAGCUUUACUUGGCAAAAACCUGCUGGUUGCUCCAUAGUUUGGCUUUCUGUUGGCACUACAUAAUUCCCACUAAAGAGUUCAAUUUUACCCGUCUUGAAACACGGACCAAGGAGUCUAAUGCGUGUGCAAGUGUAAGGGUUUUAAACCUGACAGCAUAACAAACGUGACUGCUGGGAUUCUUGCGCCAGCAACCAACUGAUCACUUAGGAGAUGUUUGUGUAUGAGCAUGCUUGCUAGGACCCGAAAGGUGGUGAACUAUGCCUGAGAAGGGUGACGUCAGGGGAAACUCUGAUGGAAGCUCGUAGCGCUACUGACGUGCAAAUCGUUCGUCUGACUUGGGUAUAGGGGCGAAAGACUAAUCGAACCAUCUAGUAGCUGGUUCCCUCCGAAGUUUCCCUCAGGAUAGCUGGAGCAGUACAGUUUUAUCAGGUAAAGCGAAUGAUUCGAGGCAUUGGGGGUAUGUUACCCUUGACCCACUCUCAAACUUUUAAUGGGUAAGCUCCACUGGUUGCUUAGUUGACGCAGGGGGUUGAAUAUACGCUCUAAGUGGGCCAUUUUUGGUAAGCAGAACUGGCGAUGAGGGAUGAACCUAGCAUUGGGGUAAAGUGCUUGACUGCUCGCUCAUGUGACACCACAAAGGGUGUUGGUUCAUACUGACAGCAGGACGGUGGUCAUGGAAGUUGAAAUCCGCUAAGGAGUGUGUAACAACUCACCUGCC